Molecule: unclassified non-coding RNA, 302 nt
Filed under: uncultured Sordariomycetes
Lineage: Eukaryota; Fungi; Ascomycota; Sordariomycetes
Description: sequence contains ITS1
Rfam family: 5.8S ribosomal RNA (bases 1-105)
Source: RNAcentral
GAAACGCGAUAGUUAAUGUGAAUUGCAGAAUUCAGUGAAUCAUCGAAUCUUUGAACGCACAUUGCGCCCGGCAGUACUCUGCCGGGCAUGCCUGUUCGAGCGUCAUUUCAACCCUCAAGCCCUGCUUGGUGUUGGGGUCCUACGGCUGCCGUAGGCCCCGAAAGGAAGUGGCGGGCUCGCUGCAACUCCGAGCGCAGUAACUCAUUAUCUCGCUAGGGACGUUCGGCGCGCUCCUGCCGUUAAAGACCCCAUCUUUAACCAAGGUUGACCUCGGAUCAGGUAGGAAUACCCGCUGAACUUAA